GCUGGGUGCAGUGGUGCUCUCCUGUAAUCCCAGCAGCUUGGGAGGCUGAGGCAGGAGGAUCACUAUUUCAAAGCCAGCCUCAGCAAUGGCAAGGCGCUAAGCAACUCAGUGAGACCCUGUCUCUA
This 125-nucleotide small RNA is filed under the name Marmota monax (woodchuck). The record is from RNAcentral. Lineage: Eukaryota; Metazoa; Chordata; Mammalia; Rodentia; Sciuridae.